This 73-nucleotide transfer RNA is filed under the name Myotis davidii. It matches the Rfam family "tRNA". Rfam says of the family: Transfer RNA (tRNA) molecules are approximately 80 nucleotides in length. Their secondary structure includes four short double-helical elements and three loops (D, anti-codon, and T loops). Lineage: Eukaryota; Metazoa; Chordata; Mammalia; Chiroptera; Vespertilionidae. The record is from Rfam by way of RNAcentral.
GGCCGUGUGGCUCAGUGGAUAGAGCGUCGGUUUGUGGACUGAAAGGUCCCAGGUUUGAUUCCUGUCAAGGGCA